UUAAAAAGCUCGUAGUUGGAUUUCUGUUGAGGGCGACCGGUACGCAUUUCGUGCGUUAUCUGGUUCGGUCUUGGCAUCCUCUUGGGGAACGAUCCCAUGCUUAAUUGCAUGGAUCGGGAUUCAAGACUUUUACUUUGAGGAAAUUAGAGUGUUCACGGCAAGCAAGUGCUUUGAAUACAUUAGCAUGGAAUAAUAAUAUAGGACCUUUGUUCUAUUUUGUUGGUUUCUAGAACUAAGGUAAUGAUUAAUAGGGACAAUUGGGGGCAUUCGUAUUAACGCGUCAGAGGUGGAAUUCUUAGAUUGCGUUACGACGAACUACUGCGAAAGCAUUUGCCAAGGAUGUUUUCAUUGAUCAAGAACGAAAGUAUGGGGAUCGAAGACGCUUAGAUACCGUCGUAGUCUAUACCAUAAACUAUGCCAACUAGAGAUUGGAGGUCGUUCUCUUUAUGACUCCUUCAGCACCUUAUGAGAAAUCAAGUCUUUGGGUUCCGGGGGGAGUAUGGUCGCAAGGCUGAAACUUAGAGGAAUUGACGGAAGGGCACCACCAGGAGUGGAGCCUGCGGCUUAAUUUGACUC
RNAcentral lists this ribosomal RNA (576 nucleotides) under uncultured marine eukaryote. Its description in RNAcentral is "SSU rRNA". It matches the Rfam family "Eukaryotic small subunit ribosomal RNA", at positions 619 to 1201 of the family's 1831-position model. The record is from RNAcentral.